GCCAGGAUAGCUCAGUUGUGAGAGCAUCAGACUUUCAAUCUGGGGGUCCAGGGUUCACAUCCCUGUUCAGGUGACA
Molecule: non-coding RNA, 76 nt
Organism: Phycodurus eques (leafy seadragon)
Lineage: Eukaryota; Metazoa; Chordata; Actinopteri; Syngnathiformes; Syngnathidae
Source: the annotation of a RefSeq genome assembly